Molecule: ribosomal RNA, 492 nt
Filed under: uncultured bacterium
Lineage: Bacteria
Description: partial 16S ribosomal RNA
Rfam family: Bacterial small subunit ribosomal RNA
Source: RNAcentral
AGUGAACGCUGGCGGCAGGCCUAACACAUGCAAGUCGAACGGCAGCACAGUAAGAUCUUGCUCUUACGGGUGGCGAGUGGCGGACGGGUGAGGAAUACAUCGGAAUCUACUUUUUCGUGGGGGAUAACGUAGGGAAACUUACGCUAAUACCGCAUACGACCUACGGGUGAAAGCAGGGGAUCUUCUGACCUUGCGCGAUUGAAUGAGCCGAUGUCGGAUUAGCUAGUUGGCGGGGUAAAGGCCCACCAAGGCGACGAUCCGUAGCUGGUCUGAGAGGAUGAUCAGCCACACUGGAACGGAGACACGGUCCAGACUCCUACGGGAGGCAGCAGUGGGGAAUAUUGGGCAAUGGGCGCAAGCCUGAUCCAGCCAUACCGCGUGGGUGAAGAAGGCCUUCGGGUUGUAAAGCCCUUUUGUUGGGAAAGAAAAGCAGCAGGUUAAUACCCCGCUGUUCUGACGGUACCCAAAGAAUAAGCACCGGCUAACUUCGUG